Molecule: non-coding RNA, 1289 nt
Organism: Paramormyrops kingsleyae
Lineage: Eukaryota; Metazoa; Chordata; Actinopteri; Osteoglossiformes; Mormyridae
Source: RefSeq, a predicted model, not a curated record
CUUGAAGGAUAAUUAUCAGCACCUCCAAUCCAAGCCAAGAGGCUCUCUCAAAAAAGUGUGGGUUACCGUCUUCUGGUCGUGAACAUGUGUAUGCACCUUGGGAACACAAGUGACCAAUGAGGAAUGCGAGAUGGGCAGUUUAGGAGUGCCGCAUGUUGGUCGACCCUGCGCUGUGACCCCCAAGCUAUGGAGAGCAAGAUGUGGCAGGCGAAGAGAAGAAUUCCAAUGUAAUUGUAAAAAAGGCAAAUAAAAGAUGUAUCAUUGUUAAGUUGAGGUCAGUCUACAUCCCUGUUCUCACCUUUGGGCAUGAGCUGUGGGUGAUGAUGAAAGAAUAAGGUUGCAGGUACAUGUGCUGGAAUGCUGAUUCGCGGCAUGGUUGCCCAGAGCACUCUCUGUGACAAGCUUAUGACUUCAGGCAAUUGCAGGGAUCUCGAAAAAGAGCCGCUGUUCCUUCUAUUCAAGUAGAGACAACUGACGUGGUUCUGGCAUCUUUUAACAAGGCUCUAUCACACCUAGGACAUGCUGGAAGGACAAUAUCUCCCAGCUGUCUUGGUAAUGCCUGCCACUCACCCAGAAUGAUCUGCAAUCUACGACCUUGGAAAGUGAUGUCAGGUCUGACCUGCUCGGCACUUUGCCACUACACCCCCUCAUCGGGAGAAGCAGUGUGUAAAAAAUGACAACUAAGAUGAUAUACAUACAAGAUUUAUGUUUAUAUCUACCAAAUGAUCCAUAACAGUUUUUUUUUCAAAAUUUCAGUCAUAAUCUAGUCAUACUCCUUGAAAUAAAUUCAAAAGAAAGGUAUUAUAACAAAUAAAACGUUCCUAUUUCUUAACCAUAUGCAUUAUGGUUCCAUAAGGACAACCGUAAUCCCGGCACCAAGGUUACGUCAGGUGAUUUUAGAAAUAAGACCAAAACAUAUAUAACAGUAUAUUUCUUUGAACGGAACAGUUCUUCGGUCGGAACUAAAGUUUUACCUGGGGAAGAUUUACAGAGUAACACCCGCGUGUCAUGUCAACAUUACAUGCGUGUGGCGGAACGUGACCGGCACCCCACUUUAAAUUGUCUUUUUGUAUACUUUUUUGUUUGGAAGCGUGUAGUUUUUCGUUAGCAAAGUAGCGUUUUAACAUUCUUGAUUUAAAAUGUCUUCGGGAAGCACGAAAGGAAGUGCUAUUUUUUCCGGCUUCAGGGCCUUGGGGCUUUACUCGAACCAUCUGGCGCACGUUGUGCGGUACCACAAGAAGCACCAGCAAUUCUACGUGGUAACGGCGGUGGGGAAGUGCUUCCACACC